GGGCACGACACCGGAGAGGGAGCCUGAGAAACGGCUACCACAUCCAAGGAUGGCAGCAGGCGCGCAAAUUACCCAAUCCCGACACGGGGAGGUAGUGACAAUAAAUAACAAUACGGGGUUCUUAGGAUCUCGUAAUUGGAAUGAGUACAAUUUAAAUCUCUUAACGAGGAACAAUUGGAGGGCAAGUCUGGUGCCAGCAGCCGCGGUAAUUCCAGCUCCAAUAGCGUAUAUUAAAGUUGUUGCAGUUAAAAAGCUCGUAGUUGAAUUUCGGGGUUAGUAGGUUGGUCAUGCCUCUGGUAUGUACUGGUCUCACUGAUUCCUCCUUCCUGAUGAACCGUAAUGCCAUUAAUUUGGUGUUGCGGGGAAUUUGGACUGUUACUUUGAAAAAAUUAGAGUGUUUAAAGCAAGCUAACGCUUGAAUACAUUAGCAUGGAAUAAUGAAAUAGGACGUUCGAUCCUAUUUUGUUGGUUUCUAGGAUUGACGUAAUGAUUAAUAGGGAUAGUUGGGGGCAUUAGUAUUCAAUUGUCAGAGGUGAAAUUCUUGGAUUUAUUGAAGACUAACUACUGCGAAAGCAUUUGCCAAGGAUGUUUUCAUUAAUCAAGAACGAAAGUUAGGGGAUCGAAGACGAUCAGAUACCGUCGUAGUCUUAACCAUAAACUAUGCCGACUAGGGAUCGGAUGAUGUUAAUUUUUUAAUGACUCAUUCGGCGCCUUACGGGAAA
RNAcentral lists this ribosomal RNA (722 nucleotides) under uncultured Glomeromycotina. RNAcentral describes it as "SSU rRNA". It matches the Rfam family "Eukaryotic small subunit ribosomal RNA", at positions 373 to 1097 of the family's 1831-position model. The record is from RNAcentral. Lineage: Eukaryota; Fungi; Glomeromycota.